This 307-nucleotide ribosomal RNA is filed under the name uncultured bacterium. RNAcentral's name for it is "bacterial SSU rRNA". It matches the Rfam family "Bacterial small subunit ribosomal RNA", at positions 28 to 334 of the family's 1533-position model. The record is from RNAcentral.
GAUGAACGCUAGCGGCAGGCCUAACACAUGCAAGUCGAAUGGUAACAGCAGAGCUUGCUCUGGCUGACGAGUGGCGCACGGGUGCGUAACGCGUAUACAAUCUGCCUAUUACUGGGGUAUAGCCCGAAGAAAUUUGGUCUAAUACCGCAUACGCCCUUCGGGGGAAAGUAGGGGAUCUUCGGACCUUACACUAUUGGAUGAGCCUGCGUGAGAUUAGCUAGUUGGUGAGGUAAUGGCUCACCAAGGCGACGAUCUCUAGCUGUUCUGAGAGGAUGAUCAGCCACACUGGAACUGAGACACGGUCCAG